RNAcentral lists this ribosomal RNA (527 nucleotides) under Pristimantis achuar. RNAcentral's name for it is "partial 16S ribosomal RNA". It matches the Rfam family "Bacterial large subunit ribosomal RNA", at positions 1916 to 2605 of the family's 2925-position model. The record is from RNAcentral. Lineage: Eukaryota; Metazoa; Chordata; Amphibia; Anura; Strabomantidae.
GACUCUGUUCAACGGCCGCGGUAUUCUAACCGUGCGAAGGUAGCGUAAUCACUUGUCUCCUAAAUAGAGACCUGUAUGAAAGGCAUCACGAGGGCUUAGCUGUCUCCUGUUUCUGAUCAGUGAAACUAAUCUCCUCGUGACAAAGCGAAGAUCCCCCUAUAAGACGAGAAGACCCUAUGGAGCUUAAAACAUAACAAUAUCUGCCCCCCAUUAAACUACCCAGGUACCUCCCCCUGGCAUUUUAAUUGUGUGUUUUUGGUUGGGGUGACCGCGGAGAAAAACUUAUCCUCCAAAAUGAAAUGGGAUUCCCCUUAAACUACAAGUUACAACUUUAAGUAUCAAAAAAUUGACAUUCUGACCCAAUAAAUUGAUCAAUGAACUAAGUUACCCUAGGGAUAACAGCACAAUCCACCUUGAGAGCUCCUAUCGACAGGUGGGCUUAUGACCUCGAUGUUGGAUUAGGGCAUCCUAGUGGUGCAGCCGCUACUAAAGGUUCGUUUGUUCAACGAUUAAAGCCCCACGUGAUC